Molecule: ribosomal RNA, 266 nt
Filed under: uncultured bacterium
Lineage: Bacteria
Description: partial 16S ribosomal RNA
Rfam family: Bacterial small subunit ribosomal RNA
Source: RNAcentral
CCGGACGCACGGGUGGCGUAACGACGUAUGCAACCUAACCAUCAACAGGGGAGGUAACACUGAGAAAUUAGGUACUAAUACCCACUAAUAUCUCAUGCGGCGAUACGCAUGGGGUUGAAAACUCCGGUGGUUGAUGAUGGGCAUGCGUUGUAUUAGCUGGUUGGUGAGGUAACGGCUCACCAAGGCGACGAUACAUAGGGGGACUGAGAGGUUAACCCCCCACAUUGGUACUGAGACACGGACCAAACUCCUACGGAAGGCAGCAG